RNAcentral lists this ribosomal RNA (1556 nucleotides) under Salmonella enterica subsp. enterica serovar Enteritidis. RNAcentral's name for it is "bacterial SSU rRNA". It matches the Rfam family "Bacterial small subunit ribosomal RNA". Lineage: Bacteria; Pseudomonadati; Pseudomonadota; Gammaproteobacteria; Enterobacterales; Enterobacteriaceae. The record is from RNAcentral.
UUAAAUUGAAGAGUUUGAUCAUGGCUCAGAUUGAACGCUGGCGGCAGGCCUAACACAUGCAAGUCGAACGGUAACAGGAAGCAGCUUGCUGCUUUGCUGACGAGUGGCGGACGGGUGAGUAAUGUCUGGGAAACUGCCUGAUGGAGGGGGAUAACUACUGGAAACGGUGGCUAAUACCGCAUAACGUCGCAAGACCAAAGAGGGGGACCUUUGGGCCUCUUGCCAUCAGAUGUGCCCAGAUGGGAUUAGCUUGUUGGUGAGGUAACGGCUCACCAAGGCGACGAUCCCUAGCUGGUCUGAGAGGAUGACCAGCCACACUGGAACUGAGACACGGUCCAGACUCCUACGGGAGGCAGCAGUGGGGAAUAUUGCACAAUGGGCGCAAGCCUGAUGCAGCCAUGCCGCGUGUAUGAAGAAGGCCUUCGGGUUGUAAAGUACUUUCAGCGGGGAGGAAGGUGUUGUGGUUAAUAACCGCAGCAAUUGACGUUACCCGCAGAAGAAGCACCGGCUAACUCCGUGCCAGCAGCCGCGGUAAUACGGAGGGUGCAAGCGUUAAUCGGAAUUACUGGGCGUAAAGCGCACGCAGGCGGUCUGUCAAGUCGGAUGUGAAAUCCCCGGGCUCAACCUGGGAACUGCAUUCGAAACUGGCAGGCUUGAGUCUUGUAGAGGGGGGUAGAAUUCCAGGUGUAGCGGUGAAAUGCGUAGAGAUCUGGAGGAAUACCGGUGGCGAAGGCGGCCCCCUGGACAAAGACUGACGCUCAGGUGCGAAAGCGUGGGGAGCAAACAGGAUUAGAUACCCUGGUAGUCCACGCCGUAAACGAUGUCUACUUGGAGGUUGUGCCCUUGAGGCGUGGCUUCCGGAGCUAACGCGUUAAGUAGACCGCCUGGGGAGUACGGCCGCAAGGUUAAAACUCAAAUGAAUUGACGGGGGCCCGCACAAGCGGUGGAGCAUGUGGUUUAAUUCGAUGCAACGCGAAGAACCUUACCUGGUCUUGACAUCCACAGAAGAAUCCAGAGAUGGAUUUGUGCCUUCGGGAACUGUGAGACAGGUGCUGCAUGGCUGUCGUCAGCUCGUGUUGUGAAAUGUUGGGUUAAGUCCCGCAACGAGCGCAACCCUUAUCCUUUGUUGCCAGCGGUUAGGCCGGGAACUCAAAGGAGACUGCCAGUGAUAAACUGGAGGAAGGUGGGGAUGACGUCAAGUCAUCAUGGCCCUUACGACCAGGGCUACACACGUGCUACAAUGGCGCAUACAAAGAGAAGCGACCUCGCGAGAGCAAGCGGACCUCAUAAAGUGCGUCGUAGUCCGGAUUGGAGUCUGCAACUCGACUCCAUGAAGUCGGAAUCGCUAGUAAUCGUGGAUCAGAAUGCCACGGUGAAUACGUUCCCGGGCCUUGUACACACCGCCCGUCACACCAUGGGAGUGGGUUGCAAAAGAAGUAGGUAGCUUAACCUUCGGGAGGGCGCUUACCACUUUGUGAUUCAUGACUGGGGUGAAGUCGUAACAAGGUAACCGUAGGGGAACCUGCGGUUGGAUCACCUCCUUACCUUAAAGAAGC